GAUUAGGUGGCUGAGAUGUGUAGGCGAUAGAUUGUAAAUCUAUAGAGGGAUCAUGUCCUCUAAUUA
This 66-nucleotide transfer RNA is filed under the name Caridina indistincta A. RNAcentral's name for it is "tRNA-Tyr". It matches the Rfam family "tRNA". From Rfam's summary of the family: Transfer RNA (tRNA) molecules are approximately 80 nucleotides in length. The record is from RNAcentral. Lineage: Eukaryota; Metazoa; Arthropoda; Malacostraca; Decapoda; Atyidae.